RNAcentral lists this ribosomal RNA (575 nucleotides) under uncultured Acidobacteriota bacterium. RNAcentral describes it as "bacterial SSU rRNA". It matches the Rfam family "Bacterial small subunit ribosomal RNA", at positions 38 to 645 of the family's 1533-position model. The record is from RNAcentral. Lineage: Bacteria; Pseudomonadati; Acidobacteriota.
GGCGGCGUGCCUAACACAUGCAAGUCGAACGAGAAAGGGUAGCAAUACCUGAGUAAAGUGGCGCACGGGUGAGUAACACGUGACUAACCUACCCUGGAGUGGGGGAUAACUGAGGGAAACCUUAGCUAAUACCGCAUAACACCUACGGGUCAAAGGAGCAAUUCGCUUUGGGAGGGGGUCGCGGCCGAUUAGUUAGUUGGCGGGGUAAUGGCCCACCAAGACAGUGAUCGGUAUCCGGCCUGAGAGGGCGCACGGACACACUGGAACUGAAACACGGUCCAGACUCCUACGGGAGGCAGCAGUGGGGAAUUUUGCGCAAUGGGGGAAACCCUGACGCAGCAACGCCGCGUGGAGGAUGAAGUACUUCGGUACGUAAACUCCUUUCGAUCGGGACGAUAAUGACGGUACCGGAAGAAGAAGCCCCGGCUAACUUCGUGCCAGCAGCCGCGGUAAUACGAAGGGGGCAAGCGUUGUUCGGAAUUAUUGGGCGUAAAGGGUGCGUANGCGGUUUGGUAAGUCUUAUGUGAAAUCUCCGGGCUCAACUCGGANUCUGCAUGGGAAACUGCCGGGCUUGA